This 125-nucleotide small RNA is filed under the name Marmota monax (woodchuck). The record is from RNAcentral. Lineage: Eukaryota; Metazoa; Chordata; Mammalia; Rodentia; Sciuridae.
GCCGGGCAUGGUGGCACAUGCCUGUAAUCCUAGCCACUUAAGGGGCUGAGGCAGGAGGAUUGCAAGUUUAAAGCCAGCCUCAGCAAAAUCAAGGUGUUAAGCAAUUCAGUGAUACCCUGUCUCUA